Long non-coding RNA from Adelges cooleyi (spruce gall adelgid), 370 nucleotides. RefSeq lists it as uncharacterized. The transcript has 3 exons. NCBI's taxonomy places the organism in Eukaryota, Metazoa, Arthropoda, Insecta, Hemiptera, Adelgidae. The record is from RefSeq and is a predicted model, not a curated record.
GUACAAGAGCCAACAAUUGAUUUAAGUGACCCAAUUGACUAUGACACGGCAGUAAACAACAGACAUACGCUGAUACAUAAUAUAUUCCACCAUGUUCUACAUCGUCAAAUGAAUGACACCCGAAUGUGCAAGAAUGGCGAAAGCACAAAAUGCAAAUUGCUCGGGAUAAUAACGCGUGCAUUAAAUCCUGGGUUUAGAUAUACACAAGGAUGUAAUGAAGUAUUUAAUUGCAUUAUAGUAUUGGAGGGGACGAUUACGGCAGACGGCGUUUUGCCAACCUACGAGACACGAAUGGAGUAUUAUGUAGAUCUGCUACUUCCGUCAGGAUUGUAUAAAACAGAACUGGAGAGAGUUACAGAUUUAAUCUAAA